AUGCUCAUUUACAUCCUGGACAGAGUCCUUUGGGCUUGCCAGGCCUGCUGUUUCUGCUUCCUACAGCCCAAGACUCUGGGGUGGAACUUUGGCACUGUCUCCCAGGUGACUUCAGUGGGUGAAGUCACAAAGGAAGAGUGCCCUGUGGGAAUGAGGCUCUGGCCUGAGGCACUUGGACUUGGAACCCUGAAGUCUGGCUGGUGGGCUGGAGGAGACAAGACAAGCAGAGAGUGGCCUCGCACCUGGUUGGGACCUGAGAACCCCAUGGGACGCAUCCACUCCUAUUUGCAAACCCCUUUUUCAGAGGACUUCUCUUUCAAGGGAUAAGGUAAAGGAAAUAACCAAGAACCACAAGAGUACUGUAGUUGCGACGUCAUCAUGGAAAGAAUCGCACUCAGUUAAGUUCAAUGGAAGUGAGUAUUUCAGGGGGCUUGGGGUUAGGAUAGGAAGGAGAACCAAGAGAACUCGGCCCUCUAAGAAACCAAGAUAAGAAGCAAAAAAAAGAAAGAAAGAAAGAAAGAAAGAAAGAAAGAAAGAAAGAAAGAAAGAAAGAAAGAAAGAAAGAAAGAAAGAAAGAAAGAAAAAAAACAAGAGAUUCCUGCAACCCAGAAUCCCUUCAUAGCACUUGAGUUCAACCAAAGAGUUGAACCAAAGAAGUAAGAUCAACAGUCAAUCUUUUCAUCUGUCUCUUUCUCCAAGUCUCUCUUUCUCAAAUCUUUUUCCUUCCUCAAAGCUCAAUGACACUUUCCUGCACCACCACUUUUAUCUCCUUGUAUCUUUAUUGUGUUCUUCACCGUGAACACUAACUCUGCUUUUUAAAAUCCCUAUCAAAGUUCAUUUUGUAAAUAUCAAUCCCAAGAUUACUGCCAGUAUGAAAAAUUGAGGGGUCUUUUACAUUUAACUUAAGUGGGGUGAGGAAAUUACAGCUGUGCUGAAAUAUAAGAGAAAAGAUAUUAUUAGCCCUAGUCAUGGUAUACUGGGAAAUACAUAGGAAGAAGACGUAUAACCAGCUACCAAAGAGUUGCUUUAUCAUCACUUUCCUUUGCUCAGAAAACAUAGACAAAGGUGACUUCAUUACCACAAAUAUUUUUCUAGUCUUUCAUUUCUCUGGCUUCAAAUCUUACUUUGCGUACUUACUGACCAGUCCAGGAAAUGCAGAACAAGAGCUUGACAAGUUCUCCUUCUUCAGUUUCUUUAGAAAUAAGUUGUCAGAACUUGCCAUUGUUGAGCUAGCCUCACCUGCCCAAACACCAACUUAAAUAAACUAACAGUACCUGAAACAAAAGGAAUUUCAGCCGUGAGUGUUACAUAAGCCCUGAAAAUGGCAGAGACUGAGGUGUAUUGUUGCUCGGUCUGAGCAACAUUGAAAUGUUAUUGUAAGCCUUCUGUUUAACUUGCAAUGUGCGUACCUGAGUGUCCCCUGUGGGUGGGACAGAGUGGAGCCGGGGGAAAGGGGCCCACACUCCUGACAGCAGGUAUUUUCCUAAUGCUGUGUUCUUACCUUCACCACUCCUGCUCAGCCUGGCAAUACGCAUGAAAAACAUUAAAAUACCCAAACUUCUUUUGCUAUCAGGUACUCCAAAAGAGAUGUAAAUUAGUGUCUGUCAUACAGUUAUGGUGAAUGAAUUAAAGUCAUUAAUGCUAACACAUUAUUCACAAAAUGUAACACUUUUUCCAAGUAGAAACUCAAUCAAUAUAAUGCAAUAAAUCAAACAUGAUUCAGUAUGGAAAGCAACCAGUUUCUAGUUCACUGUAAAGGGACUCAGGAUAAGGCAGCAGAACAGGUUAUUGCUUAACACAUUUUCCACUAAAAACAGAUAAAAUGUCUAAUUUCAGGCUCUGAGCAGAAUGUGUUUUAAUGCAAUUUCUUUGAAAAUUUCUGUUUCUUGUGCACCUCUGAAUAUAUACUCAAUGUGAAUUAAUUAUCACUGGUUCCUUAGCUUGUAUUUUUAUGUAUUUACUGGAAAAAAUAAAACCUGUCCCCUUUGUGUCUACACCAGAAAAGAGAAGGCGAUACCUACAUCAUCGGCAUGGUCUAUGACCCUAGAAUCAAUGUGACGCACGGAAAGUUUUUCUGUAAGACUGAGUUACAAAGAACCAUGAUGUCUUAUGUGAUUGUACCUCUGAGAUCUGCGAUAACAUUUGCUCCAUUUCUUUUGUUUUUCCGGUUAACAUUUUCAUUUCAGUGUUGCUGAUAAUUUUCUAUUAUCUCACCCUCUUUUAUGUUUCUCAUGUAUUUCCCUUUCAGUUAGUCCCAUCAAAUUAACUGAAGAAUAAAACUAUAUAAUAUAGUCUUAUUAUAAGCAGAAGAAAAUGAAGAUGAUCUGAAGAGAUAAAUCACCGAAGGUUAAUAGCUUUUUUAAAAUCAAUCUUCCUUCAAAGGAAAAG
Callithrix jacchus (white-tufted-ear marmoset) is the source of this 2388-nucleotide long non-coding RNA. The record is from Ensembl. Lineage: Eukaryota; Metazoa; Chordata; Mammalia; Primates; Cebidae.